Molecule: small RNA, 790 nt
Filed under: Pongo abelii (Sumatran orangutan)
Lineage: Eukaryota; Metazoa; Chordata; Mammalia; Primates; Hominidae
Description: retained intron
Source: RNAcentral
AUUGUGUCUCCAGCCCCUCAUGCUGAAGACACUCCCUUCCCCCUACACCUCCCCAGGGGUGCGGGUCACCAGCACUGGGAGGCCAGGCCAUGCCUCACGCUUCAUGGAGGACACAGCAGCAGAGAAGCUGCACAAGGUUGUGAGCUCCAUCCUGGCAUUCCGGGAGAAGGAAUGGCAGAGGCUGCAGUCAAACCCCCACCUGAAAGAGGGGUCCGUGACCUCCGUGAACCUGACUAAGCUAGAGGGUGGCGUGGCCUAUAACGUGAUACCUGCCACCAUGAGCGCCAGCUUUGACUUCCGUGUGGCACCGGAUAUGGACUUCAAGGCUUUUGAGGAGCAGCUGCAGAGCUGGUGCCAGGCAGCUGGCGAGGGGGUCACCUUAGAGUUUGCUCAGAAGUGGAUGCACCCCCAAGUGACACCUACUGAUGACUCAAACCCCUGGUGGGCAGCUUUUAGCCGGGUCUGCAAGGACAUGAAGCUUACUCUGGAGCCUGAGAUCAUGCCUGCUGCCACUGACAACCGCUAUAUCCGCGCGGUGGGGAUCCCAGCUCUAGGCUUCUCACCCAUGAACCGCACACCUGUGCUGCUGCACGACCACGAUGAACGGCUGCAUGAGGCUGUGUUCCUCCGUGGGGUGGACAUAUAUACACGCCUGCUGCCUGCCCUUGCCAGUGUGCCUGCCCUGCCCAGUGAGAGCUGAGCCCCGGAACUCCUCAACCUUUGCCCCUGGGGCUUCCAUCCCAACCAGUGCCAAGGACCUCCUCUUCCCCCUUCCAAAUAAUAAAGUCUA